Molecule: ribosomal RNA, 119 nt
Organism: Rhineura floridana
Lineage: Eukaryota; Metazoa; Chordata; Lepidosauria; Squamata; Rhineuridae
Source: RefSeq, a predicted model, not a curated record
GCCUACGGCCAUACUACCCUGAACACUCCCGAUCUCGUCUGAUCUCAGAAUCUAAGCAGGGUCAGGCCUAGUUAGUAUUUAGAUGGGAGACCACCUGGGAAUUCUGGGUGCUGUGGGCU